This 256-nucleotide ribosomal RNA is filed under the name uncultured bacterium. Its description in RNAcentral is "partial 16S ribosomal RNA". It matches the Rfam family "Bacterial small subunit ribosomal RNA", at positions 524 to 776 of the family's 1533-position model. The record is from RNAcentral.
GACGUAGGUGGCGAACGUUAUCCGGAAUUAUUGGGCGUAAAGGGUGCGUAGAUGGCUUGAUAAGUUAGCAGUGGGAAAUCGAGGCUCAACCUCGUGGAAGCUGGUAAUACUGUCAGGCUCGAGUGCAGGAGAGGUUAACGGAACUCCAUGUGGAGCGGUAAAAUGUGUAGAUAUAUGGAAGAACACCAAUAACGGCGAAGGCAGUUAACUAUUCUGUUACUGACGUUGAGGCACGAAAGCGUGGGGAGCAAAAAGG